Non-coding RNA from Xylariaceae sp. AK1471, 91 nucleotides. The record is from the annotation of a GenBank genome assembly. Lineage: Eukaryota; Fungi; Ascomycota; Sordariomycetes; Xylariales; Xylariaceae.
GCUUAAAUAGUAUAGUGGUCAGUACGGCUCGUUGUGGAGGGUCCAAUAACUCAAUGCCGAGCAAUCCCAUAUUCGAAUCAUGGUUUAAGCA